This 253-nucleotide ribosomal RNA is filed under the name uncultured bacterium. Its description in RNAcentral is "partial 16S ribosomal RNA". It matches the Rfam family "Bacterial small subunit ribosomal RNA", at positions 524 to 776 of the family's 1533-position model. The record is from RNAcentral.
CACGAACCGUACGAACGUUAUUCGGAAUUACUGGGCUUAAAGGGUUUGUAGGCGGCCAUGUAAGUCAGGUGUGAAAUCCCUCGGCUCAACCGUGGAACUGCCCGGCAUACUGCGAUGCUAGAGUGUGGUAGGGGAGAGCGGAACUCCUGGUGGAGCGGUGAAAUGCGUAGAUAUCAGGAGGAACACCGGUGGCGAAGGCGGCUCUCUGGUCCACAACUGACGCUGAGGUGCGAAAGCUAGGGGAGCAAACGGG